Molecule: ribosomal RNA, 1524 nt
Filed under: Campylobacter jejuni
Lineage: Bacteria; Pseudomonadati; Campylobacterota; Epsilonproteobacteria; Campylobacterales; Campylobacteraceae
Description: partial 23S ribosomal RNA
Rfam family: Bacterial large subunit ribosomal RNA
Source: RNAcentral
GGGUAGACGAUGGCAAAUUGGUUAAUAUUCCAAUACCAACAUUAGUGUGCGAUGGAAGGACGCUUAGGGCUAAGGGGGCUAGCGGAUGGAAGUGCUAGUCUAAGGUCGUAGGAGGUUAUACAGGCAAAUCCGUAUAACAAUACUCCGAGAACUGAAAGGCUUUUUGAAGUCUUCGGAUGGAUAGAAGAACCCCUGAUGCCGUCGAGCCAAGAAAAGUUUCUAAGUUUAGCUAAUGUUGCCCGUACCGUAAACCGACACAGGUGGGUGGGAUGAGUAUUCUAAGGCGCGUGGAAGAACUCUCUUUAAGGAACUCUGCAAAAUAGCACCGUAUCUUCGGUAUAAGGUGUGGUUAGCUUUGUAUUAGGAUUUACUCCGAAAGCAAGGAAACUUACAACAAAGAGUCCCUCCCGACUGUUUACCAAAAACACAGCACUCUGCUAACUCGUAAGAGGAUGUAUAGGGUGUGACGCCUGCCCGGUGCUCGAAGGUUAAUUGAUGGGGUUAGCAUUAGCGAAGCUCUUGAUCGAAGCCCGAGUAAACGGCGGCCGUAACUAUAACGGUCCUAAGGUAGCGAAAUUCCUUGUCGGUUAAAUACCGACCUGCAUGAAUGGCGUAACGAGAUGGGAGCUGUCUCAAAGAGGGAUCCAGUGAAAUUGUAGUGGAGGUGAAAAUUCCUCCUACCCGCGGCAAGACGGAAAGACCCCGUGGACCUUUACUACAGCUUGACACUGCUACUUGGAUAAGAAUGUGCAGGAUAGGUGGGAGGCUUUGAGUAUAUGACGCCAGUUGUAUAUGAGCCAUUGUUGAGAUACCACUCUUUCUUAUUUGGGUAGCUAACCAGCUUGAGUUAUCCUCAAGUGGGACAAUGUCUGGUGGGUAGUUUGACUGGGGCGGUCGCCUCCCAAAUAAUAACGGAGGCUUACAAAGGUUGGCUCAGAACGGUUGGAAAUCGUUCGUAGAGUAUAAAGGUAUAAGCCAGCUUAACUGCAAGACAUACAAGUCAAGCAGAGACGAAAGUCGGUCUUAGUGAUCCGGUGGUUCUGUGUGGAAGGGCCAUCGCUCAAAGGAUAAAAGGUACCCCGGGGAUAACAGGCUGAUCUCCCCCAAGAGCUCACAUCGACGGGGAGGUUUGGCACCUCGAUGUCGGCUCAUCGCAUCCUGGGGCUGGAGCAGGUCCCAAGGGUAUGGCUGUUCGCCAUUUAAAGCGGUACGCGAGCUGGGUUCAGAACGUCGUGAGACAGUUCGGUCCCUAUCUGCCGUGGGCGUAAGAAGAUUGAAGAGAUUUGACCCUAGUACGAGAGGACCGGGUUGAACAAACCACUGGUGUAGCUGUUGUUCUGCCAAGAGCAUCGCAGCGUAGCUAAGUUUGGAAAGGAUAAACGCUGAAAGCAUCUAAGCGUGAAGCCAACUCUAAGAUGAAUCUUCUCUAAGCUCUCUAGAAGACUACUAGUUUGAUAGGCUGGGUGUGUAAUGGAUGAAAGUCCUUUAGCUGACCAGUACUAAUAGAGCGUUUGGCUUAUCUUU